Molecule: ribosomal RNA, 994 nt
Filed under: Salmonella enterica subsp. enterica serovar Virchow str. SVQ1
Lineage: Bacteria; Pseudomonadati; Pseudomonadota; Gammaproteobacteria; Enterobacterales; Enterobacteriaceae
Description: bacterial SSU rRNA
Rfam family: Bacterial small subunit ribosomal RNA
Source: RNAcentral
AGAGUUUGAUCAUGGCUCAGAUUGAACGCUGGCGGCAGGCCUAACACAUGCAAGUCGAACGGUAACAGGAAGCAGCUUGCUGCUUCGCUGACGAGUGGCGGACGGGUGAGUAAUGUCUGGGAAACUGCCUGAUGGAGGGGGAUAACUACUGGAAACGGUGGCUAAUACCGCAUAACGUCGCAAGACCAAAGAGGGGGACCUUCGGGCCUCUUGCCAUCAGAUGUGCCCAGAUGGGAUUAGCUAGUUGGUGAGGUAACGGCUCACCAAGGCGACGAUCCCUAGCUGGUCUGAGAGGAUGACCAGCCACACUGGAACUGAGACACGGUCCAGACUCCUACGGGAGGCAGCAGUGGGGAAUAUUGCACAAUGGGCGCAAGCCUGAUGCAGCCAUGCCGCGUGUAUGAAGAAGGCCUUCGGGUUGUAAAGUACUUUCAGCGGGGAGGAAGGUGUUGCGGUUAAUAACCGCAGCAAUUGACGUUACCCGCAGAAGAAGCACCGGCUAACUCCGUGCCAGCAGCCGCGGUAAUACGGAGGGUGCAAGCGUUAAUCGGAAUUACUGGGCGUAAAGCGCACGCAGGCGGUCUGUCAAGUCGGAUGUGAAAUCCCCGGGCUCAACCUGGGAACUGCAUUCGAAACUGGCAGGCUUGAGUCUUGUAGAGGGGGGUAGAAUUCCAGGUGUAGCGGUGAAAUGCGUAGAGAUCUGGAGGAAUACCGGUGGCGAAGGCGGCCCCCUGGACAAAGACUGACGCUCAGGUGCGAAAGCGUGGGGAGCAAACAGGAUUAGAUACCCUGGUAGUCCACGCCGUAAACGAUGUCUACUUGGAGGUUGUGCCCUUGAGGCGUGGCUUCCGGAGCUAACGCGUUAAGUAGACCGCCUGGGGAGUACGGCCGCAAGGUUAAAACUCAAAUGAAUUGACGGGGGCCCGCACAAGCGGUGGAGCAUGUGGUUUAAUUCGAUGCAACGCGAAGAACCUUACCUGGUCUUGACAUCCAC